RNAcentral lists this long non-coding RNA (1030 nucleotides) under Ficedula albicollis (Collared flycatcher). RNAcentral's name for it is "lncRNA (ENSFALG00000027997.1)". The record is from RNAcentral. Lineage: Eukaryota; Metazoa; Chordata; Aves; Passeriformes; Muscicapidae.
AUGAAAUACAGCCCAUGGGGCACUGGUACAUGCUUGGAAGUGAUGUUAUGCUGUGAAGGAACACAGUCAUUUAUUAGUGUCAAUGGAAGGUGCAACUUCACUCCACAAAUGGCAAACAACGUAACUGGAACCCGUCUGCAUGCCACGGAAAUCAGGCGCCAGAGAGCAGCUUCCCACCUCAGUAAUGCUGUUAGGAAAAGGUCUGAUAGACACUUAAAUGUCCAGUAUUCUGUUUCUCUCUUUUCACCUGAUGAAGUUAAUUUUUGUGUUUGUCUUCAAGGAUGAAAGCAUCCAGCAGGCUGCUGGAUUUGUUCUAGGAGCAGGUCUAGGAGAGCAUGUCAAGGCUGCCUGGCUGCUGUAGGGCAUGCUGGUGGAGAAAGUUGGUGUUUAGCUACUGCGUUUAACCCUGAUGCUUUGUGGACAUUAGUCCUAGGGAGCUAGGGAUCAUUUCUCUCUUAGAAAAAAUACUAGUGCUCACUGCUCCUACCUCCUGGGAAAAGACUCAUGAAAUGGAAACGAGAUUUCACAGAAUAAAAUUGGUUUCAGGCUUUCAAGGGCUUUGCAGGUGGCUGAUCUCAGCCUCUGUGGUUCCCCAUAGUGCUUUGUUGUUUGAUUUGAUUUUACUUUGUAAUGCUAUUUAAUUAAUAAGCAACAUAUGUCAGACCUGGUGUUCUCACAGCAAUAUACAGGAUUCAGGAAUAGAUGGUAAAACCCAGGGCCAGUGAGUGCUUUGAACAGAGAUGAUGCUGGAGGAAGGCAGUGUGUGCCUGUUCUGGGGGAGGAGAAAAUCAUCACUUGCUCUUGGUUUUAGUCUGAAAUUUAUUCUAAUCCAUUGCCUCUGGGAAAGUCCAGUUCCAAUCUUUGGAGAGGCUGCAUGAUAAAAAUGGACAGGGGAGUGCACUAACAGUGGCCCUGCUGGCUGUGGUCCUGCAGUGUGAGAAAGCAUCUGUGAGUGCUGCCACAGGCAGCUCCUUGCAGCAAGGCCCUUUCUAGAGGGAAUUCACUCUCCAGGAUUUCUCAGCACACCCUG